This 79-nucleotide non-coding RNA is filed under the name uncultured Prevotella sp. RNAcentral's name for it is "TPP riboswitch (THI element)". It matches the Rfam family "TPP riboswitch aptamer (THI element)", at positions 6 to 93 of the family's 105-position model. Rfam says of the family: Vitamin B(1) in its active form thiamin pyrophosphate (TPP) is an essential coenzyme that is synthesised by coupling of pyrimidine and thiazole moieties in bacteria. The previously detected thiamin-regulatory element, thi box was extended, resulting in a new, highly conserved RNA secondary structure, the THI element, which is widely distributed in eubacteria and also occurs in some archaea. Analysis of operon structures identified a large number of new candidate thiamin-regulated genes, mostly transporters, in various prokaryotic organisms. The record is from RNAcentral. Lineage: Bacteria; Pseudomonadati; Bacteroidota; Bacteroidia; Bacteroidales; Prevotellaceae.
AUUUCAAGGGGUGCCUGCGGUCGCAGGCUGAGAUGAUACCCUCUAACCUGAUCCGGAUCAUGCCGGCGUAGGGAUGGAA